UCUUCCUCAUGAGGUCAUCUUCUCCAAAAUAAAAAACCCUCGCUUUUUACCUUCACCUUCAACCUCCAUAGCUGCCACUCCAUCGCCGUUGCACCUUCCCCAUGCCAGAAACCUUCACGUCCAAACACCAUGACCACCACUGUCCAGCUCCACGCCCAGUAGCCCUCCUAGAAGCGUGAACCAACAGCAGCCGCUGAACCUUGACGAACCAGCAGCAACUCCGCCAGCUGUUGCCUCUUCGUCGUCACUGCUGCUUCAACCAUCAGCCCCGUCAUUUCGUCGCCAUUAACGACCCCUCACGUCUUCAACACCCCAACUCGCCGGAAAAGACCAGCCCCCCUCUCCAGUCGACCACCCUCAAGUCCAAAACGAGACCAGCCAUCCAAGGUUGUUCAGUCGUACGUCGAGGCAGUGCGUCGAAGUUCCGUUCGAGUCCGCGUCUGUCAGUCAAGUGUCAAAAGAGUGUUGUAAAUGAAGCUGCAUUUCGUCAAAAGUUCACCAUUGUUCGACGUCGGAUCGUUAUCAUAAAGGUUAGUCAUAGCUUGUUCACAGAUUUUUUGCUUUUUCUUUGAAGUGUCGUUUGCACUGUGUGUAACAGAGCAAGAAAGUGUAGUAGUAAAGGUCAUAUCUUUUACCUCGAAUCGAUGUUAUUCACGGAUCUAUUUGUGGUUUUAUUUUAAUACUUAGGAUCAUUUUGAUAAAAUUUCGUAUGAUAUUCCUACUGCAUAUUCGUUGAAAUUAUGUGUGUGCGUUUUAACGAUUUUCCUACUAGUUCAAAUUUUAUUGUUGUGUUAAGUCUAAUUUUGGAUCUAAGUUAGAGAUUUGAAUUUGUUUGUUCAAUCUGUUAAAUUUAAUUUGAAUCUGAGUUUAGUGAUUUGAAUUACUUGUUUGUUAUUGUUAUUGAAUCUGAAAGUAUGUUUGUUGUUAAAAAUGUUGUUCAGUCAAAAUAAUUUUCUGUUGAUUCUUUGUUGUUCAUCAUUUAGUUUGAACUGUUGUUGAAUUUGAUUAAGAAUUGGUUUUGCUGCUAUAUUUUGAUUAAUUGAUUUAGGAAAACUGGUUAUAGCUAAUACGUUCUUGGUGCAGAUUGAAAUUGAUGAGGGUAUAAUGGUCAUUUUAGUAUUUUGAGGGGGAUAUUUUUGGAAUUGAAAAAUAAAGAAUUGUUAAAAAAUAUAGUGCGGAACAUAAUUAUGUAAAGUAAAAAGAUGGGACAAGACAUGUGGGGAGCAUAUUGAUUAAAGUAAAAAAAGAGUGGAUUGUGGGGUUCACGUUUGACUGAUUUUAUUGAUUGGGAAUUCGAAAUUGUAGGGUAAUACUAAAAAGGGUAGUAAUAACAAUUAGAUGGUAGAAGAAUAUUGGGGGUGAAUAAGUAAAAAAAGAGAAAAAAGGUUAGUAAUAAUAAUUUAAAAGUAAAAGUUAAUAGUUAAAAAGAAUAGAGGAAAUGGUCUUGCAUUUGGGGUAUAUAAUAGCAGUCAUUUAACACUUAGGCGAGGAGGAAUUUGGAGAGAGAAAUUUCGGAACUAAAGAGGAGAUAAAAAUAGACUUUUAAUCUUGAGAGAUGAGGACUGAGAGAAGAGUACUAAUUUUCUAAAAUCAUAGAGAGUCUGUAGUUUGAGAGUGUUCUACUCCGCAUCUUAAAGAAUUGAGGAAUGAGAGAAGAGUACUAAUUUUCUAAAAUCAUAGUGAGUCUGUAGUUUGAGAGUGUUCUACUCCGCAUCUUAAAGAACAAAAAAUCAGAAUUAUCCCGAUGCCUCUUCCGUCUUUUUGGGUUCAUUCUGUCAUACAUGUAAGAGUUAUUGGGAUUUCUGGGUCUUCGCUUGGUUUUUCCUAAGUCUGGUUGGUUUUUUUGUUACUGCUCCACCGAUUUUCAAACUCUGUUUCUGGGCUACUGCGUUAGUGCUACUGGUUGUUUGUUGUUUAUGUGUAUUGCUACUGCCAUCCUGCUGAUCACUCAUCUUCUUCUUUUGCUUCUAAUAUCAGGUACACAACUGGUACACCUUGUAAGUUGAUAACAUGAAGCAUGAAUACAAAUAAAUAGUUGAAGUUUUAAUUUUAUUUAGUUUUGUUACUGAAUAUUUGUCUAAAUCUAGCAAUUAAUAUAUUACAUUUUAAGCAUGUAAUUAUUAGGAUUUUUUGCUUUUAUUUUAGAGACGGGCCAAAAAUAGAAGAAUGUAGCCGUUUUAGGAUUACCCUUUAAAAGUUAGACGUGCCUCGCCAAAUAAAAAUACGUAAAAUGCGGGGCCCUCAGUAAAGGUUUAAAAAUAUUUAAAAAAAUCGGGAAGGGUCAUUUAGCGAAUUUCACGACUCUCCCAAAAGAUUACAACGCACUAGACUCUAUUAGGUGGCUUUAAUAAACGGCUAUAAUAAACUACAUUCCUAAAUACGGGCGGGGAUUUAUACGGCCCAAGUUCAAAUCCUAAAAAGUUGGAUAGAGUUUGCAUAGGAUUGCGGGCUCCGGUCGCGCUAUCCUAAAGAACACUUUAAACAACGUUCACUUCUUGAAUAAAUACAUUUUAAAUAAAAACGGUAAAAAAGUAAAAAUUGGCACAUAUGUUCUUCAUGUAAUAAAAUCAGAUAAUAUGCUAAAUGCAACACUUGAGCGACCGUGCUAGAACUACGGAACUCGGGAAUACCUAACACCUUCUCUAGGGUUAACAGAAUUUCUUAUCCGAAUUUCUGGUUUGCGGACUGUUAACGGAGUCAUGAUUUUCCUCGGUUCAAGAUUCAACCGGUGGCUUGGGACAUCAUUAAUAUCACAAGUGGCUACUCUAAAUAAAUAAUAAAUAAAUCGUGUUCCGAUUGUCCUUUAAUUGGAAUAACUCCUUGCCACCCUCGCGGACGUGGUAAAAAGGAGGUGUGACAGCUCUGACGACUUUGCUGGGGAAUUUCCCAGAACCACUGGUCGAGGGUUCAGAAUUCGAGUUUAGAUAAAUUGUUGUAUUUGACUAUAUCUGCUUUUUCUACAUGCUUCAUGCUGAAUGUGCUAAAUGUUACCGUUUUGAUAUUAUAUGAUCUACAUAUAAACUGUGCCGACACCCUUCUCUGUUUAUCUCCGGGGUCUGUUAGGGUCAUACCCCUGAAAUAAGAAAGAGGCUCGGACAAAUUACGAUGCCAGAUGGCCUUUUGGUUCCCGGUAAGUUGUCCCCUCCUCGACUCGAGUUGUCCGCUCGGAUACACGAUCUAGAACACCGACCCAAGUUUUGAACAUAGAAUAACGUGACUUCAUGCUAGACCCCUAGUAGGAACGCUUAUCUGCAUCAUGUGCAUUUUUUACUUAGGGGACUCAACACCGGGGUUGGGUCCGUCUAGGAAUAGCAACCUGAAAUAGAAAAGACCAUGUUGAUGCAUCCUACUUGUGUUCCGUGCAUUUAAUUGUCUCGGACUUGCAUGCUGACUGGCUUUGGAAUAUUUGAAAAAGAAACUAAUGCCCAAAUACUGUCAAAAUUCUGCAGAAUUUUUUUAAGAAAAUGAAAAAAUUGUUUUAUUACUCAAAAGCAAAAAAAGAAACGAAAAAAGAAAAUUGGGACUUUGUUUUAGUUUUGGAAAUUAGAUUGUUUUAUUUUUGUUGAAAAGAAAAGUCUUUGUUUAGUUUGGAAAAAUAGAUUCUGUUAUUUUUUGUUGAAAAAAAAGGAAGAAAAAAUCUUUUAUUUUUAGUCUAAAAAAUAGCUUGUUUUAUUGUUUGUUGAAAAGAAAAAGAAAAAUAGUCUUUAUUUUAGUUUGGAAAAAAUAAGUAGUUUAUUGUUUGUUGAAAAAAAAAAGAGUUGUUAUGUUGUCUUAUUUUUAAAAAAAAAUGUAGAAAAGGAAAAAUAGUUUGUCUUGCCAUUGAAAUUGAAAAUGAAAUAAAAAUGUUUUGCUUUCGAAAGAAGUUUUAUUAUUUAUUAAAUGCCAGAAAUGAAAAUUAAAAAGUUUUGUUUUAAAAUAGUUUGUUUAAUCGGGCGAACUACGCAGGUUUGAUUCUCACGAGGUGUGAGAGACGUAUGCAGCGCUCAUCGGGUCCAACAUCCCCUUUUGAAAAAAACAACCAAAAAAAGUCAAAUUUUAAUGUUCUUCAUAAAUAAGUCAGGUGAUGUCGCUCUUGUCAAAUAUAGCUGAAGGUUCCCGAAAAGGACGCCGGAAGGAUGACUUUGCAUAAACGCCACCUUUGGUCAUUUUUUAGAUUUUGGUCGAUUGACCCACACAGCCUUAGAAUCUUCUCCCCCGAGGUACUGAAAGGCCGUGUUUGCAAUAUCUGGUCUUUUAUGUUGAAAAAAAAAAGUCAUAAUUAAGUCGGGUGAUGCCGUUUUUAUCAAAAAUAGCCGAAUGUUCCCUAAUG
This 4309-nucleotide long non-coding RNA is filed under the name Nicotiana benthamiana. RNAcentral describes it as "long non-coding RNA (NBEN_LNC022717)". Lineage: Eukaryota; Viridiplantae; Streptophyta; Magnoliopsida; Solanales; Solanaceae. The record is from RNAcentral.